AUUAUUGUAUUUGCUUACUUAAUUUAAAAGACUCAUUGUCUCUGGUAAUGUAAACAUGUUGUUUUCCACCAAGAGUUAAUCGUUGCCUCUGGCCAGCCAUGUAAACACUUCUCAUCAGCAACUUUUAAUUACAGUUCAUGAAUUUUUUGCCUCCGUUUGUAGUUUUCCAGGCCUCAUUUCUUAGGAUGACAUCUUAGAUUCUUUAGGCCCCAACUAUACACCUUUCAAGCAAUUUCAUUCAAACAACACAUGAUAUUUGAUCACAGAUGGAGUCCUUUCUGGAAACGGUGGCCAUGAUUUCUAACACACUUUAUGGCACUAUUGCAAGUAAAGCCAGCGGGUGUUUUUUCUCCCAUAGGUAAAGUGGUGAAGCCUGUGUGUGUCGAUACAUAUGAUAAGAGCAAGCACCCCAUAGGCGAUUCGUGGAACACAGCUGAAUGUAUGGAAUGCCAAUGCCACAAAGAUGGGAUGACCUGCUGCACCAGAUACGGCGGUGUUGCCCAUGUUAAAGGAUGCAUAGCAAAGGUCGAUCCAAAAACGUGCAAGUAUAAGUUCUAUAAGGAGAAGGAUCCAUCAAAACCAUGUUUUUGAAGUCCUUGCGUCAACAGACGGCAAAUGAAUAAACAAGCCUCUGCAUCUAAAA
Long non-coding RNA from Anolis carolinensis (green anole), 643 nucleotides. RefSeq lists it as uncharacterized. The transcript is spliced from 2 exons. NCBI's taxonomy places the organism in Eukaryota, Metazoa, Chordata, Lepidosauria, Squamata, Anolidae. The record is from RefSeq and is a predicted model, not a curated record.